AACACAGAGGGUGGAGGGAGAGAUCCAGGAAGAGUCCCGGAGCAGAACCUCCUUUCACUUAAGUUAAAAAGGUGGGUCACUUGUUAAGAGCUACGCGCAGGUUCAUCUGAUUUACAUGUACGGCGGCAGUAUAUGAGUGGGAUGGAAACCAUGGUGACUGUUGUUUCCUUUGAUGGAUGAAACUUAUAUCCCUUUGGGUUUUUUGUUUGUUUGUUUUCGGUGGGGGGGCAUUAACCGAUUAGUAGAUAAAACUACAUAGUAUAAUCUAUAGCCUAUUUUUAAAUGGACACGUUCUUACCACUCAGGAGGUUUAUCGUGAUUGUUUAAUGUCUCAGGAUGGAGGAAUCUAGUGCAGGCAGUUCUUAAUGAAACCUUUUAAAUUCCUGUUAAUGACUUAACAUUAGUUUACCAGCUCUGAGCAGCUUUAAAUAAACCUUGAUUUCAGCUUUUAAUAAGCUAAUGACUGCAGGAGAAAAGAUAUUAACUCUCCUUUCUCUUUGUGUUUUUUGCCCCUACCCUUUUUUAUCUUUACUGACCUUAACAUGAUUGUCAAAUAUUUAUAAACAUGAGUGAACAUCUUUAUAUUACUCUCAUUAAUAAGAUAAAUGCUUAAUUUGUCAUUCUUUACGUUUUUGGGACUUAAUGAAUGUUUGUCUUUUGUAGAUAAAAUGGAGCUGCUAGAAAUAGCAAAAGCCAGCCCAGCUAAAUCUUUAGGAAUAGCCAACCCUGACUUGCCAGAUGGUCUCAGAACUGUUCCUAUCGUUAAAGAAACAAACUGUGCAACAGCUGUACUAUAUGCCACAAAGUUCGAGUUUCCUCAAAACAUGCAGAGACACUUCAUGAGGUUUUUGACUUUGUCGAAAUGAAAAUAGAAUCCUUCAACAUGUGCCUACAAGAUGGCUAUCGUUACUGGCCAUAGAGAAGAUGUUAAAAUGUUGGCCUGCCAUCAAGUCUUAUUUUCAAAAUAUGGGAAAAGAAGAGUGUUCUUCUCUAAUUUGGAAAUACAUCAAGGAUGAGGAUGAAGAAACAAGAUUAUAGUAUAACAGAAAUAUAUAUGCCUUUUGUCCAGAACUGCUUGAUGAUCUUUGAAGAAGUUAUAAGGAGCGUAGAAAAGGAUACACUAACUGCACCUGAGUUAUUUGAUAUUAUGUGUAAGUUGCGGCAAAAGCUCAUACAGCAAAAAAAUGACUCUUUGGAAAGAAGAUUGUUUUAGAACUCAAAAAAAUGUCAUCAGAAAAGGGCAACCAAAUUGAACUGGACUGUCUUGAUUACUAGAACUUUAACCUUUUUUUUUUUUUUUUUUGAGAUGGAGUCUUGCUCUGUCAUCCAGGCUGGAGUGCAGUGGCACGAUCUCAGCUCACUGCAAGCUUUGCUUCCCCAUUCAUGCCAUUCUCUUCACCUAAAAUUAACCAUCACAAAAGUUAAGGAGAAAGAAGACAACUUGUAGGGGAGGCUGCUAUGCAAGAUAGUGUGUGAAGGAAGGGCUCUCUGAAGAAGUAACAUCUGAGCAGAGACUUGAAUGAAGUGAAGAAUUGAGCCAUGUGGGUAUGGAGGAUACAACUUCCAGGUAGAGAGGACAAGUGUGGUGUGUAUCAGGGUCAGCAAAGAAGCCAUGUGACAGAGAAGGGUGGGCCAGGGAGAUAGGGAUAAGUGAUCUACCUCCUGGGGAGGUGGCCAGGAGCUAGAGCAUGAGGAUCUUGUAGGAUUUUGUUCUGCAAGGUAUGUACAUCCUCAUUGUCUUUCACAUUCUAAGGUGGUACCACUCAGUGAUUGAAAUCCUUAAGCGUUAUAUUAGUCUGCUUGGGCUACCAUAACAGCCAAAAGUAGCUAUUUUUUGAAUUUCGAAUGGUUUAGUCAGACUACAAAUUACUUAAUAACAGGGGCUACAGUUCAUUCCUGGAUAUAUCCCCAGAAUCAGGGACAGUUUCUAGAACACACUUGAGUGCUCAACAGACAUAGCUAUUAUAGUUAGUUGAAAUAGAAUUGGCAAUGUGGGAAAUAAGAAAUCAUAUUUUUGGCCCAGCACAGUGGUUCACGUCUGUAAUCCCAGCACUUUGGGAGGCUGAGGCAGGAGGAUCAAUUGAGGUCAGGAGUUUGAGACCAUCCUGGCCAAUAUGGUGAAACCCCAUUUCUACUAAAAAUAUAAAAAGUAGCUGGGUGUGGUGGUGUGUGCCUGUGAUCCCAGCUACACAGGAGGCUGAGGUGGGAGAAUUGCUUGAACCUGGUAGGCAGAGAUUGGAGUGAGCCAAGAUCAUACCACUGCACUCCAGGCUGGGCAACAGAGCCAGACUCCAUCUCAAAAAAAAGGGGAGGGGGAAGGAUCCAAGAUGGCCGAAUAGGAACAGCUCCGGUUUACAGCUCCCAGCGUGAGUGAUGCAGAAGAUGGGUGAUUUCUGCAUUUCCAGCUGAGGUACCGGGUUCAUCUCACUGGGACUUGUUGAACAGUGGGUACAGCCCACAGAGUGUGAGCUGAAGCAGGGCAGGGCAUUGCCUCACCUGGGAAGCGCAAGGCGUCGGGAAAUUCCCUUUCCUAGCCAAUUGAAGCCGUGACACAUGGUACCUGGAAAAUCGGGACACUCCCACCCUAAUACUGCCCUUUUCCAACAGUCUUAGCAAAUGGCACACCAGGAGAUUAUAUCCUGUGCCUGGCUCUGAGGGUCCCACGCCUAUGCUGCCUUGCUCACUGCUGGCACAGCAGUCUGAGACUGAACUGCAAGGCAGCCAGGCUGGGGAGGGGUGUCCGGGCCAUUAAGCUGAGGCUUGAGUAGGUAAACAAAGUGGCGGAAGCCCAACUGGGUGGAAGCCCACUGCAGCUCAGUGAGGCCUGCCUGCCUCUGUAGACUCCCACCCUGGGGCAGGCAUAGCUGGAACAGGGCAGUAGAAACUUCUGCAGACUUAAACGCCCCUUGCCUGGACAGCUUUGAAGAGAGUAGUGGUUCUCUAGCAUGGAGUCUGAGAUCCAAGAAUGCACAGACUGCCUCAAAUGGAUCCUUGACCCCGAGUAGCCUAACUGGGAGACACCUCCCAGUAGUGGCCAACUGACACCUCAUACAGCCAGGUGCACCUCUCAAAUGAAGCUUCCAGAGGAAGGAUCAGGUGGCACAUUUGCUGUUCUGCAACAUUUGCUGUUCUGGCAGCCUCUGCUGGUGAUACCCAGUAAACAGCAUCUGAGUGGACCUCCAGCAAACUCCAACAGACCUGAAGCUAAGGGUCCUGACUGUUAGAAGGAAAAUUAACAAACAGAAAGGAAUAGCAUCAAUAUCAACAAAAAGGACAUCCACACCAAAGCCCCAUCUGUAGGUCACUACUAUCAAAGACCAAAGGUGAUAAAACCACAAAGAUGGGGAGAAACCAAAGCAGAAAAGCUGAAAAUUUAAAAAUCAGAGGCCUCUUCUCUUCAAAGGAACACAGCUCCUCGCCAGCAAUGGAACACAACUAGAUGGAGAAUGACUUUGAUGAGUUGAGAGAAGUAGACUUCAGAAGAUCGGUAAUAACAACUCUGAACUGAAGGAGGAUGUUCAAACCCAUUGCAAAGAAGCUAAAAACCUUGAAAAAAGAUGUGAGAUGAAUGGCUGACAAGAACAGUGUAGAGAAGACCUUAAAUAACCUGAUGGAGCUGAAAACCAUGCCACGAGAACUACGUGAUGCGUACAAGCUUCAGGAGCUGAUUCAAUCAAGUGGAAGAAAGGAUAUCAGUGAUUGAAGAUCAAAUGAAUGAAAUGAAGUGAGAAGAGAAGUUAAGAGAAAAAAGAGUGAAAAGAAACAAACAAAGCCUCUAAGAAAUAGGGGAGUAUGUGAAAAAACCAACUCUUAUGUGUGAUUGGUGUACCUGAAAGUGAUGGGGAGAAUGCAACCAAGUUGGAAAACACUCUUCAGGAUAUUAUCUGGGAGAACUUCCCAACCUAGUAUGGGCAGGCCAACAUUCAAAUUCAGGAAAUACAGAGAACACCACAAAGAUAAUUCUAGAAGAGAGCAACUCCAAGACAUAUAAUUGUCAG
Molecule: long non-coding RNA, 3998 nt
Filed under: Papio anubis (olive baboon)
Lineage: Eukaryota; Metazoa; Chordata; Mammalia; Primates; Cercopithecidae
Description: lncRNA (ENSPANG00000049035.1)
Source: RNAcentral